AAAUUGAAGAGUUUGAUCAUGGCUCAGAUUGAACGCUGGCGGCAGGCCUAACACAUGCAAGUCGAGCGGUAGCACAGAGAGCUUGCUCUCGGGUGACGAGCGGCGGACGGGUGAGUAAUGUCUGGGAAACUGCCUGAUGGAGGGGGAUAACUACUGGAAACGGUAGCUAAUACCGCAUAAUGUCGCAAGACCAAAGUGGGGGACCUUCGGGCCUCAUGCCAUCAGAUGUGCCCAGAUGGGAUUAGCUAGUAGGUGGGGUAACGGCUCACCUAGGCGACGAUCCCUAGCUGGUCUGAGAGGAUGACCAGCCACACUGGAACUGAGACACGGUCCAGACUCCUACGGGAGGCAGCAGUGGGGAAUAUUGCACAAUGGGCGCAAGCCUGAUGCAGCCAUGCCGCGUGUGUGAAGAAGGCCUUCGGGUUGUAAAGCACUUUCAGCGGGGAGGAAGGCGUUAAGGUUAAUAACCUUGGCGAUUGACGUUACCCGCAGAAGAAGCACCGGCUAACUCCGUGCCAGCAGCCGCGGUAAUACGGAGGGUGCAAGCGUUAAUCGGAAUUACUGGG
This 566-nucleotide ribosomal RNA is filed under the name Klebsiella pneumoniae. RNAcentral describes it as "bacterial SSU rRNA". It matches the Rfam family "Bacterial small subunit ribosomal RNA", at positions 1 to 558 of the family's 1533-position model. Lineage: Bacteria; Pseudomonadati; Pseudomonadota; Gammaproteobacteria; Enterobacterales; Enterobacteriaceae. The record is from RNAcentral.